This 500-nucleotide ribosomal RNA is filed under the name uncultured organism. Its description in RNAcentral is "SSU rRNA". It matches the Rfam family "Bacterial small subunit ribosomal RNA", at positions 15 to 509 of the family's 1533-position model. The record is from RNAcentral.
GAUCCUGGCUCAGGAUGAACGCUAGCGGCAGGCUUAACACAUGCAAGUCGAGGGGCAGCGCGUUGUAGCAAUACGAUGGCGGCGACCGGCGAAAGGGUGCGUAACGCGUGAGCAACCUGCCCGUAUCCGGGACAUAAGCGGUGGAAACGCCGUCUAAUUUCCCAUAACAACGAGGGCCGCAUGGUCCAUGUUUGAAAGAUGCGUCGGAUACGGAUGGGCUCGCGAGACAUUAGCUAGUCGGCGUGGUAACGGCACACCGAGGCGACGAUGUCUAGGGGUUCUGAGAGGAAGGUCCCCCACACUGGAACUGAGACACGGACCAAACUCCUACGGGAGGCAGCAGUGAGGAAUAUUGGUCAAUGGGCGCGAGCCUGAACCAGCCAAGUAGCGUGCAGGACGACUGCCCUAUGGGUUGUAAACUGCUUUUAUGCGGGGAUAAAGUGCCGUACGUGUACGGUAUUGCAGGUACCGCAUGAAUAAGGACCGGCUAAUUCCGUGCC